Molecule: long non-coding RNA, 579 nt
Filed under: Pan troglodytes (chimpanzee)
Lineage: Eukaryota; Metazoa; Chordata; Mammalia; Primates; Hominidae
Description: lincRNA
Source: RNAcentral
AUGCUCGAGCCCACGGGCCCAACUCCUGAGAUCCCAUUUGGAAGCUGCUGAUCACCAGUUUCAAGUGUUUCUGUUUAUUGGGAGACUGCCUUCCUCUGGCACUGGCAGUGACCAAUUAUUAUUUUAGAGAGACUGUUAACGGCCUGACCAUCACCUGACGAAUAUCAGGAAAGUGGCCUGACAUUCCUGGUACACGGAGCGCCUUCUUUUCGUUUAGAACAUUGGUGGCUCCACAUUAGAAGCAUCCUAUGUAGCUGUUCUGCUUGCAGCUGCCCAAGUCUGCCUGGGCCUCCUGCAUGAGGUCAUGAGUCUUAAUAAAGCCACUGACCCACACAUUUGGAAUCGUACUGACUUUUCACAACUAACAGCCAACACAUUGCCAAGAAGCAAUUCAAUUGUUGAGGAUAUCAUAUCAUGCCAGGGAAAGAGAGAUGGAAUUCAGAAAGCCUGGGAUAUUGCAGUUCAGAUAAAUGGCACUUGGUCAACGGAAAUGUCCUAAGGGCACUGCAGCUGCAGCUGGAGAAUGAAGAAGACAUAAAAUUAGGGCUUUUGUCACUGUCGCUUGAUUUCAUUAAAGGG